This 468-nucleotide ribosomal RNA is filed under the name uncultured bacterium. RNAcentral's name for it is "partial 16S ribosomal RNA". It matches the Rfam family "Bacterial small subunit ribosomal RNA", at positions 28 to 507 of the family's 1533-position model. The record is from RNAcentral.
GACGAACGCUGGCGGCGUGCUUAACACAUGCAAGUCGAACGGAAAGGCCCUGCUUUUGUGGGGUGCUCGAGUGGCGAACGGGGGAGUAACACGUGAGUAACCUGACCUUGACUUUGGGAUAACUUCAGGAAACGGGGGCUAAUACCGGAUAGGAUCUCCUGCUGCAUGGUGGGGGUUGGAAAGUUGCGGCGGUUGGGGAUGGACUCGCGGCUUAUCAGCUUGUUGGUGGGGUAGUGGCUUACCAAGGCUUUGACGGGUAGGCGGCCUGAGAGCGUGACCGGCCACCUUGCGCCUGCGGUACGGCCCAGACUGCAACGUUGGGCAGCAGUGGGGAAUAUUGCCCAAUGGGCGCACGCCUGAUGCAGCAGCGCUGCGUGCGGGAUGCCGGUCUUCUGGUUGUGAACCGCUUCCGCCUGUGACGACGCGUGACUGACGGUAAUGGGUAAAGAAGCACCGGCUAACUACGUG